AACUCAAAGACAGGCAAACUGGAAUUGAAAAAAGGCUAUCAUACACUAACAUAUAACACGUGUUUAGAUGCAACAUUGUUAUUGGGUACUGGCUCUCGUGUCAUGUUGACAAAAAAUUUGGUUUUGGCUGACGGCUUGGUUAAUGGUGCAUGUGGCACAGUAACAGAUAUAGUUUGUGUUGAAAAUGAAAAGUUUCCUCAGUGUAUUUUUGUGAAAUUUGAUGAUGAGGUCGUUGGUGUUGAGAGGAGGAAACAGUCAGGAAGGGUGUCAGAUCAUCUUGUUGGUUCCACGGCUAUUACACCGGAGGAAGAAAGAGUGACAAAAAAGGGAGGUAUGCGCCGUCAAUUUCCGCUUCGUCUCGCCUGGGCCUGUACUGUACACAAAGUACAAGGCCUCACAGUUGAUACAGCCAUAGUCAGUAUGAAAAAGGUGUUUUCUGCUGGUCAGGCUUAUGUGGCUUUGAGUCGUGUCAGGACUCUUAUGGGAUUGAUCAUUCAAGAUUUCAAUCCCAAAAAAAUCUAUUGUCGGCCAGAAAUUGCUCAGGCCACUUCAAGGAUGGCUUCAUUCCUAGAACCUAUCACCUGGCAAGGGAGAGUGGAGGACACUUUGACAGUGUUCCUCAUGAAUGUUCAGGGUUUGAGACGCCAUGUGUCUGACUUGGCUCAGCACACACAGCAUUUGCAGCCAGAGUGCAUUGCUGUGACUGAGACGUGGUUGCAUCCAGGUUGUUCCUCAGAGACACUCAAGAUAGCCAACUACUCUCUGCAUAGUUGUCCACGAGCUCUGGCAUAUGAUGGUCAAACUGCCCCCUUUGCCUCUUUGCAGGCAAAAGAACAUGGGGGAGUUGCAAUGUAUUGUGAUGGAAUUAUGCAGUUUGCAAUCAUCAAGGUGCCUUGUUUCAAUGUGGAAUGUUUGGUGUACCACUGCAUAAACCUGAACAUUUUCCUUACAGUCAUAUAUCGGCCUCCAACCUACCCCAUGACACUAUUCAAACAAAAUAUUAUCAAACUACUCAAAUGGCUGGAACACAUUGGCAAAAACAUUAUUGUCAUGGGAGAUUUCAACGAUGACAUAUUGAAGUCAUCUUCAAUUUGCAAAUUUUUCCAAGAUAGAGGUUAUGAUCAGGUGAUCACCCAGCCUACCACAGAGCGAGGCACUUUGAUUGAUCAUGUUUAUGUGAGAGGGGGCAUUUUCCACACACAAGCUGAAGUAAUGCCUUCAUAUUUUAGCGACCAUGAAGGUAUUUACUGCAGCUUUAAAAUUUGUGAUUAAUCAUGUACACUGCUGUUUUUGAUAUUAUUAAUGCUUUCCAUAGAAAAGUAGAUUUGAAAGUGUUUUAGCAGGUUUCCAUACAGCUGGCAGAUGGAUCAAUUUACAACACCUGGACGAACCAUGAUGUCAACACAAGUAACCACUUCAGGACAUUGUUUGGAUGGACAUUUAUGGUGAUUGUAUGCAAACUAACAUGUGAUACAUAACCUCUCCACUUCAUUUACACUUGCAAUUAUUUUGAACAUCACAACUUGACUACAAAAAAUUAACAUUAGCAAUGCGCCUAGUUACUAUUUCUCCAAUAUGAUGACUUCUUCAUUUGUCAGCAUGUAACAGAUAUAAUCUCUCCUCUCCUCACCGUUUCAACAAAUACACCAUACAUCUUAUGAUCGCUCCACCUGAAGACUGACAAGCCCAUCAUUACUCCACCUUUGGUGAGAUGAGACCCUGAUGGAUUACUGAAACAAUACACAAUUGGUAAGUGUGAAUUUCAAUUUAUAGUUAACUAUUUUCAUUCACACACUAUACUACUUGUGUAAACACGCAUUGUGUCUCUUCCUCAGAAGGGAUGCAUACAACAGUGGUAUAUGAUUGUAAUUACCAUGAAUUCUAACUGUGAUUAUGUAACUGAUGUGUCAUGUCUUAUUCAAAACAUGUACCCACAUAUUUAUCCCAUGACACCACCAUCACAAGAGAUAUCAGCCACUAUCAACUCCAGCCAGAAAAUAAUGCAUGCUAAGCAAGUGUGUUAUAACUAUAUGUUGAUUGAUUCUCAUUAUAUAAACAUGUAACUAAUAUAUUGUCUCUUCUUUACAGCGUGUUACCAACCACUAAACCCACCACUACUCCAGGGAUCAGCCUAUGACAACUCCACCCAAAAAGAAAUGCAGCACACACUUCACAUGUACCAGAAAUUAUUUUUUUAAUUGCUUCUCAGCUUUUUUGUAAUAACAAGUCACAUAAUUUAAUUUCAUAAUACAUUUUGAUAUUUAAUUUGUAUUUCCUUUGUACCUCAAUUUGUAUUAUAUGUAUUGCAAUGUAUUUUACAUAUAUGAAUUUUGUAUGAAUGAUCACACCAUUUUUGAUAACCUACUCUAGGAUUACACACAACACUAUCUAUGGUUAACUCUGGUGCAUUUACAUGCCUUUUCACUUUAUUAAUUGACAUGCUUAUCACUGUCCACUGUCCCUGAUAAAUAAAUAAAUAAUAAUAUACAUCAUUUCUAAUCAUUUAUUUAUAUUACAUAUUAUCCACUGUGCUUGUACAUGAUUUAAUUCAUUUUACCAUUCAAACAUCUUCAGUUAUUGUACUGACUUUCAGUGGGAAGGUUGUAUUCCAAUUGUGAACUGUCU
This 2625-nucleotide long non-coding RNA is filed under the name Xyrichtys novacula (pearly razorfish). Lineage: Eukaryota; Metazoa; Chordata; Actinopteri; Labriformes; Labridae. The record is from RNAcentral.